This 775-nucleotide ribosomal RNA is filed under the name uncultured Neocallimastigales. Its description in RNAcentral is "partial large subunit ribosomal RNA". It matches the Rfam family "Eukaryotic large subunit ribosomal RNA", at positions 24 to 647 of the family's 3401-position model. Lineage: Eukaryota; Fungi; Neocallimastigomycota; Neocallimastigomycetes; Neocallimastigales. The record is from RNAcentral.
UAUCUCUGUAGAGUCUGCAUAUCAAUAAGCGGAGGAAAAGAAACUAACAAGGAUUCCCUUAGUAACGGCGAGUGAAGCGGGAAGAGCUCAAAUUUGAAAUCUUCAAGGUUCUACCUUGACGAAUUGUAGUUUAAAGAAGUGUUUUCUGUUAGAUGAGUAGCAAAAGUUCCUUGGAAUGGGACAUCAUAGAGGGUGAGAAUCCCGUAUUUGGUUAUUCAUUCUAGCUUUGUGAUACACUUUCAAAGAGUCGGAUUGUUUGGGAAUGCAGUCCAAAAUGGGUGGUAAAUUUCAUCUAAAGCUAAAUAUUGGCGAGAGACCGAUAGCGAACAAGUACCGUGAGGGAAAGAUGAAAAGAACUUUGAAAAGAGAGUUAAACAGUACGUGAAAUUGUCAAAAGGGAAGCGUUUGACACCAGUGUUGUUUUUCCGAAAAUCAAUUACGAAUGGCUUGAUUCUGUGUAGUAUUGACCUUAUCAGCUUUCUUCACUUUUUUCGAGUCUUUCUUAAUGCACUUUUCGGUUAACAAGUCAACAUCAAUUUCUUUUGUUGUAAAAGAGUAUUCGGAAGGUGGCUUUCUUUUCGGAGAAAGUGUUUAUAGCCCUAUACUUCUACAAUCGGAGAGAUUGAGGUCUGCAGCGUAGAUCCUUCGGGGUUAGAUACACUUGUAGCUAAGUUGUAGCUUUUCAUAGACAACUUGUUGACUAUGUUUAGUCAUGCGGCUUACUCGCUUGUGCUAUUUUACCUACGCUUAGGAUGUUGACGAGACUGUCGAUCUC